AUUGAACGCUGGCGGCAUGCUUUACACAUGCAAGUCGGACGGCAGCACAGAGAAGCUUGCUUCUUGGGUGGCGAGUGGCGCACGGGUGAGUAACAUAUCGGAACGUACCGAGCAGUGGGGGAUAACUAAUCGAAAGAUUAGCUAAUACCGCAUAUUUUCUGAGGAAGAAAGCAGGGGACCUUUGGGCCUUGCGCUGUUUGAGCGGCCGAUAUCUGAUUAGCUAGUUGGUGGGGUAAAGGCCUACCAAGGCGACGAUCAGUAGCGGGUCUGAGAGGAUGAUCCGCCACACUGGGACUGAGACACGGCCCAGACUCCUACGGGAGGCAGCAGUGGGGAAUUUUGGACAAUGGGCGCAAGCCUGAUCCAGCCAUGCCGCGUGUCUGAAGAAGGCCUUCGGGUUGUAAAGGACUUUUGUCAGGGAAGAAAAGGGCGGGGUUAAUACCCCUGUCUGAUGACGGUACCUGAAGAAUAAGCACCGGCUAACUACGUG
This 490-nucleotide ribosomal RNA is filed under the name uncultured bacterium. RNAcentral describes it as "partial 16S ribosomal RNA". It matches the Rfam family "Bacterial small subunit ribosomal RNA", at positions 30 to 507 of the family's 1533-position model. The record is from RNAcentral.